GACAGAGGGUGCAAACGUUGUUCGGAUUUACUGGGCGUAAAGCGCGUGUAGGCGGCUUGGCAAGUCGGAUGUGAAAGCCCACGGCUCAACCGUGGAAGCGCAUCCGAAACGGCCUCGCUCGAGUCUCGGAGAGGAAGGUGGAAUGCUUGGUGUAGAGGUGAAAUUCGUAGAUAUCGGGAGGAACACCGGUGGCGAAGGCGGCGACCUGGGUCGAUACUGACGCUGAGGUGCGAAAGCGUGGGGAGCAAACAGG
Molecule: ribosomal RNA, 253 nt
Filed under: uncultured bacterium
Lineage: Bacteria
Description: partial 16S ribosomal RNA
Rfam family: Bacterial small subunit ribosomal RNA
Source: RNAcentral